CCUUUGUACCAGGAGAGAGUCACAUGACUCACAUUCACAGCUGAACACACCAAUGAACAAUUUGAUGAUGAUGAUGAAGAACAUUGUGAAGAGUUACUGCUGAUGACAGGAACAGGCAGACGAGCUGGAAAACAUGAAUAAAAAGAAGGUUUCAGUGAGAUGCCUCCUGUGGCUUGAGGAACUGAUGUCUACUCUACACCUGGAACAAAAUAGAUACCUUUUGAAAGGCAAUAUUGGACAAUUCCACAUGAUUUGGGACCCUUUCAUCUGCUACCUCAGAAGGAAUGUUAUUCCUUAAUGCAGUGUAUUGUAAGCUAACUGAAGUGUUGUGUAUUAAUGUCACUGGAUUGUAUAUUAACAGGCGGGAAACGGGGUGUAGGUUAUACUUAAUGGAUUUUUUAUUUAUUUAUUUAUUUUCUUAGUUUAUUUAUUUUGUGCAUAUAAGAAAAUUAAUCCUGGAAUCUGUAAUUAUUU
Molecule: long non-coding RNA, 474 nt
Organism: Ctenopharyngodon idella (grass carp)
Lineage: Eukaryota; Metazoa; Chordata; Actinopteri; Cypriniformes; Xenocyprididae
Exons: 2
Source: RefSeq, a predicted model, not a curated record